AUACGGAGGGUGCAAGCGUUAAUCGGAAUUACUGGGCGUAAAGCGCGCGUAGGCGGCUAUAUAAGUCAGAUGUGAAAUCCCCGGGCUCAACCUAGGAACUGCAUUUGAAACUGUAUGGCUAGAGUAUGGUAGAGGUGAGUGGAAUUUCAGGUGUAGCGGUGAAAUGCGUAGAGAUCUGAAGGAACAUCAGUGGCGAAGGCGACUCACUGGGCCAUUACUGACGCUGAGGUGCGAAAGCGUGGGUAGCAAACAGGAUUAGAAACCCUAGUAGUCC
Molecule: ribosomal RNA, 274 nt
Filed under: uncultured bacterium
Lineage: Bacteria
Description: partial 16S ribosomal RNA
Rfam family: Bacterial small subunit ribosomal RNA
Source: RNAcentral